GGGGGAUAUUGCACAAUGGGGGAAACCCUGAUGCAGCGACGCCGCGUGAGGGAAGACGGUCCUCUGGAUUGUAAACCUCUGUCUUCGGGGACGAAACGAGACGGUACCCGAGGAGGAAGCCACGGCUAACUACGUGCCAGCAGCCGCGGUAAUACGUAGGUGGCAAGCGUUGUCCGGAAUUACUGGGUGUAAAGGGAGCGUAGGCGGGCAGGCAAGUCAGGCGUGAAAUAUAUCGGCUCAACCGGUAACGGCGCUUGAAACUGCAGGUCUUGAGUGAAGUAGAGGUUGGCGGAAUUCCUAGUGUAGCGGUGAAAUGCGUAGAUAUUAGGAGGAACACCAGUGGCGAAGGCGGCCAACUGGGCUUUUACUGACGCUGAGGCUCGAAAGUGUGGGGAGCAAACAGGAUUAGAUACCCUGGUAGUCCACACCGUAAACGAUGAUUACUAGGUGUGGGGGGACUGACCCCUUCCGUGCCGGAGUUAACACAAUAAGUAAUCCACCUGGGGAGUACGGCCGCAAGGUUGAAACUCAAAGGAAUUGACGGGGGCCCGCACAAGCAGUGGAGUAUGUGGUUUAAUUCGACGCAACGCGAAGAACCUUACCAGGUCUUGACAUCGUAUGCAUAAUGUAGAGAUACACGAAGUCCUUCGGGACAUACAGACAGGUGGUGCAUGGUUGUCGUCAGCUCGUGUCGUGAGAUGUUGGGUUAAGUCCCGCAACGAGCGCAACCCUUGUAUUUAGUUGCUACGCAAGAGCACUCUAGAUAGACUGCCGUGGACAACACGGAGGAAGGUGGGGAUGACGUCAAAUCAUCAUGCCCCUUAUGACCUGGGCUACACACGUACUACAAUGGCAAUAGAACAGAGGGAAGCGACUCAGCGAUGAGAAGCAGAUCCCGAAAAAUUGUCUCAGUUCGGAUUGCAGGCUGCAACCCGCCUGCAUGAAGUCGGAAUUGCUAGUAAUCGCGGAUCAGCAUGCCGCGGUGAAUACGUUCCCG
This 997-nucleotide ribosomal RNA is filed under the name uncultured bacterium. Its description in RNAcentral is "bacterial SSU rRNA". It matches the Rfam family "Bacterial small subunit ribosomal RNA", at positions 356 to 1376 of the family's 1533-position model. The record is from RNAcentral.